This 702-nucleotide ribosomal RNA is filed under the name Triticum aestivum (bread wheat). RNAcentral's name for it is "partial small subunit ribosomal RNA". Lineage: Eukaryota; Viridiplantae; Streptophyta; Magnoliopsida; Poales; Poaceae. The record is from RNAcentral.
AUGACAUCUCGUAGUGAGGUGUUGUCUAUUUAUAAGCGUUUUGCUGCCAUGGUUCAUACUCAGUUUUCUUCACCCAUUCGUGUUUUUCGUGCUGACUCCGCUGGCGAGUAUAUCUCUAAGAUGUUGCGUGGUGUCCUUGCUGAGCAGGGUACUCUUGCCCAGUUCUCUUGUCCUGGUGCUCAUGCUCAGAAUGGCGUGUCUGAGCGCAAGCAUCGUCACCUUCUUGAGACGGCUCGUGCGAUGAUGAUCGCCGCCUCUCUUCCGCCUCAUUUUUGGGCCGAGGCUAUCUCCACUUCUGCCUAUCUCAUCAACCUUCAGCCGUCCGCUGCUUUGCAGGGUGGCGUUCCUUUUGAGCAUCUUUUUGACCGUUCUCCCGAUUAUUCGAUGCUUCGCUUGUUUGGUUGUGUUUGCUAUGUUCUUCUUGCCCCUCGCGAACGCACCAAACUGACCGCUCAGUCUGUUGAGUGUGUCUUCUUAGGCUACAGUGAUGAGCAUAAGGGUUAUCGUUGUUGGGAUCCUAUCGGUCGUCGGAUGCGUAUCUCUCGAGACGUGACUUUUGAUGAGUCUCGUCCCUUUUACCCACGCCAUCUUCCUCGAUUUUUUCAGUGGAAGAUAUCUCUUUCCUCACUUUUCCUGACUCACCUAUCACCCCCGUCGCGCCUGUGCCUAUUCGUUCCACUCCCUCUACUUCUCCACCUCUAG